This 706-nucleotide long non-coding RNA is filed under the name Vitis vinifera (wine grape). Its description in RNAcentral is "long non-coding RNA (VVIN_LNC007104)". Lineage: Eukaryota; Viridiplantae; Streptophyta; Magnoliopsida; Vitales; Vitaceae. The record is from RNAcentral.
GCAGCAUCCAUUACGGAGAAGCAGAGAGAUGAAGAGGUUUGAGUUACCACUCCAAAUUACCUGUAGAGAAAAGUGCUUCUAUUGAUUAAUAUAAUUCUGAAAAGGAGAAGAGAAGCAAGGAUGCAUUUAACUAAAGCGGAUAGCAGAAAUCCUCCACAGCAAAUGCUUAAGGAUAAUAAGAAGCAAAAUACUGAACCUACGGAAUUACAGACAUUGGUGAGAAAUCCAAGCCAUGCCUCACUUCCACUAGAUGACAGAUUGGAGUGGACUUGCUGAAGACUUGUACUUCUGCAGAAAGUAAAUAAAGGGGUCCACUUCUUGUGCAAAUUGGUCCUGGAAGCAUGUUAAUGGAUAAAUGAAAGAAUGGGUGGUAAUGUUUUUGCGCGUGUCUUCUCCUCCAAAGCUGAGGAAGACAUCAUGCUUGCUUGCAUUGAGAAGAAGAAAAAGUUGCAACAUUCAUUAUGGAAGAUUAGAGAGAUGAAGAGAUUUGAGUUACCACUCCAAAUUACCUGUUGCGAAAAGUGCUUCAAUUGAUUAAUAUAAUUCUGAAAAGGAGAAUAAGAAGCAAAAGAUUGAACCAGCGGAUCUAAGAAUUACUGAUGUUGGUGAGAAAUCCAAGCCAUGCCUCACUUCCACUAAAUGAGAGAUUGGAGUGGACUUGCUAAAGACUUGUACUUCUGCAUAAAGUAAAUAAAGUGGUCCACUU